AUUGCCGCUUCCCAAGACCCAUAACUUUUUUAUUUUGAUUUCUAUGGAGUUGUGUAAGGGCUUUAUUUUUGAGUUACGACUUAUAUUUUUCAUUGGUGUCAUUUUUGAGUAAAUUACGCUUUUCGAUCGCUUGCUAUUCCGUUUUUUUC
Bufo bufo (common toad) is the source of this 149-nucleotide long non-coding RNA. RefSeq lists it as uncharacterized. The transcript is spliced from 3 exons. NCBI's taxonomy places the organism in Eukaryota, Metazoa, Chordata, Amphibia, Anura, Bufonidae. The record is from RefSeq and is a predicted model, not a curated record.